AACGAACGCUGGCGGCAGGCCUAACACAUGCAAGUCGAGCGCCCCGCAAGGGGAGCGGCGGACGGGUGAGUAACGCGUGGGAACGUACCCUUUGCUACGGAAUAGCCUCGGGAAACUGGGAGUAAUACCGUAUGUGUCCUUCGGGAGAAAGAUUUUUCGGCAAGGGAUCGGCCGGCGUUGGAUUAGGUAGUUGGUGGGGUUAUGGCCUACCAAGCCGACGAUCCAUAGCUGGUUUGAGAGGAUGAUCAGCCACACUGGGACUGGGCCCCGGCCCAGACGCCUACGGGAGGCAGCGGAGGGUACUCUUAGGCAAGGGGCGCGAUGCUGAUCCAGCCAGGCCGCGUGAGCGAUGAAGGCCUUAUGGUUGGAAUGCUCCUUCAGGGGGGAAGAUAAUGACGGUACCUCCAGAAGAAGCCCCGGCUAACUCCGUG
Molecule: ribosomal RNA, 431 nt
Filed under: uncultured bacterium
Lineage: Bacteria
Description: partial 16S ribosomal RNA
Rfam family: Bacterial small subunit ribosomal RNA
Source: RNAcentral